AACGAACGCUGGCGGCAGGCUUAACACAUGCAAGUCGAACGAUGAAACCUAGCUUGCUAGGUCGAUUAGUGGCGAACGGGUGAGUAACACGUGACUAACCUGCCCCUUUCUCUGGGAUAACGCUCCGAAAGGAGUGCUAAUACCGGAUACUCACAUCGAGGCACAUGCCUUGAUGUGGAAAGUUUUUCGGAAAGGGAUGGAGUCGCGGCCUAUCAGCUUGUUGGUGAGGUAACGGCUCACCAAGGCGACGACGGGUAGCCGGCCUGAGAGGGCGACCGGCCACACUGGGACUGAGACACGGCCCAGACUCCUACGGGGGGCAGCAGUGGGGAAUAUUGCACAAUGGGCGCAAGCCUGAUGCAGCGACGCCGCGUGAGGGAUGAAGGUCUUCGGAUUGUAAACCUCUUUCAGUAGGGACGAAGCGAAAGUGACGGUACCUAAAGAAGAAGCACCGGCUAACUACGUGCCAGCCGCCGCCGUAA
Molecule: ribosomal RNA, 482 nt
Filed under: uncultured bacterium
Lineage: Bacteria
Description: partial 16S ribosomal RNA
Rfam family: Bacterial small subunit ribosomal RNA
Source: RNAcentral